UACAGGCAGCAACCACAAUACGCGCCGCCAUUCAACAGGUCGGACACGCAGCGUUGCAACAAGCGAGCAUCAUAGCAACGCAACACCACAGCCACACCAGGUGGAUGGAACCACUAGCGAGCAACAGCAAGGAGGGAGGAGGAACUAGCGGUAUCGCUGGAUCUGGUGGUGGUCCGUUCGCCCCUCGCCGUCGUCUCGCUGGUGCCGGCGGGCGUGCGGCACGCUGGAGACGGAGCAAUGCUGCCGGACGUUCGCCUCCACGCCGUCGCGCCGUGCAAGGCACGAGAGACUCGCUGGCUCUGGGUAGGCGAAGGAGCGGCGGUGGCAGCCCCGGCCGACGCCGCCGCCGCCGCCGCCGCGCGUCGUUGGGGAAUCAAUCGGGAUAGAAGGAACCCUUGUGGGCCUGUGGCUGUGGAAUAGAGAAAGAAGACCGCGGCCGGGCCCGUGGGCCGGGCCGAGAAAACGGCCUGCAGGCCCACCUCGUUCCAAAGGCGACGGCAGAGCUCCCAGCGAUGGAGCACCUUGAAAUACCCCGCCUUGGCGCCCGAGCGUAACCGUCUCUCUCAACCAACACCGCGCGCCUUGCCUCUCCUCCUCUCCUCUCUCCGCCUCGCCAGAGCGCCAGCAAACCAACAGCUCAUCACCCCCUCUCCACCGCCUCCAGCGCGCGGCGCCAGCGGCGGCGGGCGGCCGAUGGAGCACUUCCACGACGGGCACCACGUGUGGCUGCGGAGCCGCGCGCUCGGCACCUACCUGCACGCCGACACCGACGGGCAGGGCGUCACCCUCCGCGACAGCCGCGCGUCGCUCAACGCGGCGUGGGCGGUGCAGCACCUGCACCACGGCUACGAGCUGUACCUGCUCCUCCACGGCGCCGCCUACGGCCGCUACCUCGCCGCCAGCAACGCGCGCCCGCCGCUCGAGAUCCCAGGCUUCCGCGGCUGCCGCGUCGCGCAGCGCGGCUACGACUCCCUCGAGGUGGGACCCAUCAUGUGGCAGGCCUUCGGGGUCGGGGUCCUCCCCGGGGACGACCACGUCCAGCUCCGCGACGUCGACGGCCGCUACCUCCGCGCCAACGGGAAGCACCUCCCCUGGAACCACGGCGCCAGCGUCGACGAGUUCGACCACCUCAGCGACAUGAGGCACUGGGUCGUCGAGCCCAUCCCCGCCAGGGACGGCAUGCCUGCCCUUCCAGGCCAGAUCAGGCCCAGCUUCCUCCAGAACCUCUCCAAGUUCGUCUUCGGCCGCGUGGUGGCAGCCGCAGACCGCCGAAGCACGCGGCUCAUUCGGUUCGUGCGGGCGGACGACGACGGCUUCUACCCCGAGGAGGAGGAGCGCUGGGCCGAGAUCCCGCUCACGGGGAGGUCCGUGCAGCACCUCAGGAACCAGUUGGCCCUCGGCGUCGCCUCCUUCGACAUCAUCAUGUGCGUCCGAGCCGGACGCUACGGGAGGCUCACCCCACUCGUCGUCGACCUGCCCAGCGGCCGCAAUGGCGACAUCAUCGAGAUCGUCGUCUACAUGGUCGGGACACCAGCCGCCAAUGGGCUGCGCCACCCGGAUGUUGAUGCAAAGUAGGGAAAGAUCAGAGCAGGAGUCCUGACAGUUCGCCUCUUCAGAUGUUUUGCUGCCUCGGACAUGACGACAACAGAUCCAGACGCUUACUAGUGCAUACAGAUAGAUAGAUAUAGGUUCAGAAAACUCAGCAGCUCCUGUGUUUCUUUUGCUAGCUAAACUUGAUACAAACUCCUGAUAGGAGGAACCUAUCUGUCUUGGCCUCGCGGUUCAAAGAUUCAGAACUGCUGAAUGCGUUCAGCGCAGUGGCUGCACAUGUUUUUAGUGACACUGGAUGUAGUUGCUGCAGUGUUGCUCUUCUGACAUCCAUCAAUGCGAUGUGGUUGCUACUGCUUCCUG
Molecule: non-coding RNA, 1911 nt
Organism: Lolium perenne
Lineage: Eukaryota; Viridiplantae; Streptophyta; Magnoliopsida; Poales; Poaceae
Source: RefSeq, a predicted model, not a curated record